GAGUUUGAUCCUGGCUCAGAUUGAACGCUGGCGGCAGGCCUAACACAUGCAAGUCGAACGGUAACAGGAAUCAGCUUGCUGAUUUGCUGACGAGUGGCGGACGGGUGAGUAAUGUCUGGGAAACUGCCUGAUGGAGGGGGAUAACUACUGGAAACGGUAGCUAAUACCGCAUAACGUCGCAAGACCAAAGAGGGGGACCUUCGGGCCUCUUGCCAUCGGAUGUGCCCAGAUGGGAUUAGCUAGUAGGUGGGGUAACGGCUCACCUAGGCGACGAUCCCUAGCUGGUCUGAGAGGAUGACCAGCCACACUGGAACUGAGACACGGUCCAGACUCCUACGGGAGGCAGCAGUGGGAAAUAUUGCACAAUGGGCGCAAGCCUGAUGCAGCCAUGCCGCGUGUAUGAAGAAGGCCUUCGGGUUGUAAAGUACUUUCAGCGGGGAGGAAGGGAGUAAAGUUAAUACCUUUGCUCAUUGACGUUACCCGCAGAAGAAGCACCGGCUAACUCCGUGCCAGCAGCCGCGGUAAUACGGAGGGUGCAAGCGUUAAUCGGAAUUACUGGGCGUAAAGCGCACGCAGGCGGUUUGUUAAGUCAGAUGUGAAAUCCCCGGGCUCAACCUGGGAACUGCAUCUGAUACUGGCAAGCUUGAGUCUCGUAGAGGGGGGUAGAAUUCCAGGUGUAGCGGUGAAAUGCGUAGA
This 696-nucleotide ribosomal RNA is filed under the name uncultured bacterium. Its description in RNAcentral is "bacterial SSU rRNA". It matches the Rfam family "Bacterial small subunit ribosomal RNA", at positions 9 to 694 of the family's 1533-position model. The record is from RNAcentral.